This 2720-nucleotide long non-coding RNA is filed under the name Homo sapiens (human). RNAcentral describes it as "HSALNT0223461". The record is from RNAcentral. Lineage: Eukaryota; Metazoa; Chordata; Mammalia; Primates; Hominidae.
GGGCGGGCCGGGUAAGGUCCAGCCGUAUCCGCCUCCUUCAUGUCCCGCUGUGGGAGGGGCUCUGGAGCGCCGGGACUGUGAGAUGGCCAAUGACGGUCUGACCCGUUGGGCCGGGCCAGGUCGCGGACAACGUCGACCGUUUGUUUAAGAAGCGUGGACUCUUGUCCUGAGUGCACCGAGGCUUUCAGCCUGCGGGACAGUGGUGCGAUUUGCAUUAGAGAAAGGGAGAUGCCAUGUGCUGGCCCAGCACUCCAACAGGGGCCUGACCUCUAGGAACGGGACACUGGAGGAAGCCUAGACAUCUGAACAAAUCAAGUCAUCCAGAUCCACGGUCAGCUCCUGCCCCGACUUGGCCUUCCUCCUGCUGGGCUGGCCCACGGACCUCGGGAACCUGCCCUGGCUGUGGGUGACCUGCAGCCUAUCUCCCAGGACUAUGGAAGCCCCAUGCAGGAACAUGGUUCUGACACUUUGGGGAUUAUACCCUAAGCUUAAAGGACUGGAAAAGCCCCUGAAGUCCCGAGACCACAACCCUCCACCUUCUAAAGAUAAGACAAGUCACUGAAGCUGAGCAAAGGAAAAUCCUCUGGGAAGGAGGCAAAUAAUGGAUAACUACUAUUUGGGGCCAGCUCCUGGUUUUGCUUGUCUAUGAUGAGGACUGUGCUAAUAAAUUACUGCCUUUCAGGUUUAAUCAACAUAUUUUGGGCACCUAGUUUUGCUGGAUAUGGCAUUAAGCAUCCUCACACAUUUCAGUUUGUUUACUCUUCUGCAAUAGUGAGAGGAGAGGUAAAUAUCCAGUUGAUAGACAACAAGGGCAGAUAUGGGGAAACCAAAGACAUGUUGCUAAGGCUGACUCUAUAUCAUCCAAACCUGGGAGAUUUGGGGAAUGAAAGAACUGAGCCCACAGACAAGAACCAGAUCAUCCCAGGGAAGCUGGGACUUAUGGUCACCCUGAAAAGAAAUGGCAGCUAGGCGACAAAACCCAUGUCUUCAGACUUAAGUCUAAAUCAGUUUAUAUUGGAUACGUAUUCAAUCUAAUACUUGUGGAAUUUGGAUUUAGUGGUAUGAAAAUAAACAUGGACAUAAGAGUAUGUUUCCUAAGUAAAAUGUUUCUAACAAGAAAUGUUCAGUUAUCAUUAUCUGUUGGAUGUUAGGCAAGACACUAAGCUUCUCUGCACUUCAGUUUUCUCAUCUUUAAAAAGGGGAAAAUAAUAGCAGUUACUUCAUGGGUUUACUAUAAGGAUUAAAUCAGUUACUACAGGUAGAAAAGUACUUGAUAUCUAGCACUAUUAAAUAAAUGUCACCUAUUAUUUUUAAUACUGUAUUUGUAAAGAUAUUUUGCAAAAUACAGUGGCUCUAAGAAUUUGACAGGAGGCGUAUUACUUUGUACCUCUCAAUUGCCAUGUAUUUUACUGAAUGAUUAUGAAGAGAAUGUUUUCUGGAUGUAUGGAAUAUCCCAAGUUCUUGUUUUUUGUUCGUUUGUUUGCUUGUGUUUUAACAAAUAGCACUAUUCUGGUCCAACAGGUAAAAUCAGCUCCUCAGUGUCUCCAAGGACAGGAAUGCCAUGGGCUGGGAGGCGCCAUGGGUGAACAGACUUCCCUACUUCCUGCCUCCCCAAGGGUGGGGAGCAGUCUAGGGGAUGGCUGUACUCCUGGGCCCAGUGUCUAAGUGAAAAUUAGGAGGAAAUGGAGGGAGGGUGGCGAGCGAGGACAGACUGGCCAAGGUCCCCCGCAGCCACUCCUGAAGUCCUCACGAGGGAGAAGCAGCCUCUCCUUCCAGCCUUCCCCAAGUCCUCCCUAAGAGUGUAUUCUACUGGUUUCUGUGCAGAUUUUUUUCGGCUGCGACCAAUAGUAGCUUAAACAUGGAUUAUUUUCUUUUUAAUUUCUUCCUGCAAAAUUCUUAGGAAACCAUUAAUAAAAGUAAUAUACAUGUGAAAUAAUAAUCUUGGAAACAUCCCUUCUUAAUGCUUAUGUAACUGUGUUAUGGUCGUGUCCCAUCUAGACUAAGUAAAUUAAAAUCUUAGCCCAGAUGAGAUGUAAGCAAAGGCAAGAAGAAACUUUGAUACCUACCAAAUCAUUCCUUGGUUGUAGACUAAAUGUAGCACAUUCUCAGCUAUUUUGAAUUCUCCAUAUUCAGGCUACAAGAGAAAAUAAACUUGUGCAUUAAACAAGUUCCAAAGUUCUUUGCAUGAACCAAUUAAUUACAGACACCUAUAUAGACUUCUUUGCUCUUAUGAACACUUAGAGAUCAGUGCUUGUGGGGCCAUCCCAGCAAAUGGUAAAUGUUAAGAAAGGGGUGGGGCUGGGCAUUGUAGCUUAUGCCUGUAAUCCCAGCACUUCGGGAGGCUGAGCAGGAGGAUCACUUGUAGUCAGGAGUUCGAGGUCAGCCUGGGCAACAUAGUGAGACCUCAUCUCUACAAGAAAUUUUUAAAACUAGCUGGGCAUGGUGGCAUGUGCCUAUAGUCCCAGCUACUCGGGAGGCUGAGGCAGGAGGAUCGCUUGAGCAAGACCCUGUCUCAAAAAACACAAAAAACAGACAAAAAAAAAAAAAAGGAAGUAGAAGCUCAGCUUUCUGCACCCAUCUCUUCCCACUUGUAUUCUCUUUCCGUGUGUCCCCCUCAACUAUGCUGGACUGUUUCCCAGCCACAACAUGAGAAAGGAUGGAUUUGGCCAUAUAAACUUUCCCAACAGACACAGCAUUUUACUUACAAACUUGCUCUCCAG